CCAUCCCCAUAAAAGCCUCUCGUGGUUUAAGAAUAAGAAAAACUUAUAUUCUUCCCCUUGUUAAUUUUUUAGAAGGCUCAAUCUUUUAUGCCAAUCGAAAACUCGAUAACUGGGAUAAACUUAUCCUCACAUAAGAGGCAUCAGUUGAGUGUUUUUGGGAGAUGGAAUACAAGGGAUUAAGCUUUUAGCUUGACAACGAUAAGUAUAUAUUUCACAAGUGCAUGCACCUAGCCCGGAGUUAUCAAGUUGGUAUUUGUAUGCAUGCAUGUGCUCAGUUCAGUAAACCAGAGCUUUCUUUAUCA
RNAcentral lists this long non-coding RNA (302 nucleotides) under Elaeis guineensis (African oil palm). RNAcentral's name for it is "long non-coding RNA (EGUI_LNC082319)". Lineage: Eukaryota; Viridiplantae; Streptophyta; Magnoliopsida; Arecales; Arecaceae. The record is from RNAcentral.